RNAcentral lists this ribosomal RNA (253 nucleotides) under uncultured bacterium. RNAcentral's name for it is "partial 16S ribosomal RNA". It matches the Rfam family "Bacterial small subunit ribosomal RNA", at positions 524 to 776 of the family's 1533-position model. The record is from RNAcentral.
UACGGGGGGGGCAAGCGUUGUUCGGAAUUACUGGGCGUAAAGGGCUUGUAGGUGGCCAACUAAGUCAGACGUGAAAUCCCUCAGCUUAACUGGGGAACUGCGUCUGAUACUGGAUGGCUUGAGAUUGGGAGAGGGACGCGGAAUUCCAGGUGUAGCGGUGAAAUUCGUAGAUAUCAAGAGGAACACCGGUGGCGAAGGCGGCGACCUGGACCGACACUGACGCUAAUACACGAAAGCGUGGGGAGCAAACAGG